UACGGAGGGUGCAAGCGUUAGUCGGAAUUACUGGGCGUAAAGGGCGCGUAGGCGGGGAUGUAAGUCAGAUGUGAAAAACUGAAGCUCAACUUCAGCAGUGCAUCUGAAACUGUAUUUCUAGAGGGAUAGCGGAGAGAACGGAAUUCCACGUGUAGCGGUGAAAUGCGUAGAUAUGUGGAAGAACACCUGUGGCGAAAGCAGUUUUCUAGCUUAAACCUGACGCUGAGGCACGAAAGCAAGGGGAGCAAACAGG
This 253-nucleotide ribosomal RNA is filed under the name uncultured bacterium. Its description in RNAcentral is "partial 16S ribosomal RNA". It matches the Rfam family "Bacterial small subunit ribosomal RNA", at positions 524 to 776 of the family's 1533-position model. The record is from RNAcentral.